This 274-nucleotide ribosomal RNA is filed under the name uncultured bacterium. Its description in RNAcentral is "partial 16S ribosomal RNA". It matches the Rfam family "Bacterial small subunit ribosomal RNA", at positions 523 to 796 of the family's 1533-position model. The record is from RNAcentral.
AUACGAAGGGGGCUAGCGUUGUUCGGAAUUACUGGGCGUAAAGCGCGUGUAGGCGGAUCGUUAAGUCAGGGGUGAAGGCCCGGGGCUCAACCCCGGAACUGCCCUUGAUACUGGCGGUCUCGAGUCCGGAAGAGGUGGGCGGAAUUCCCGGUGUAGAGGUGAAAUUCGUAGAUAUCGGGAGGAACACCAGUGGCGAAGGCGGCUCACUGGUCCGGUACUGACGCUGAGACGCGAAAGCGUGGGGAGCAAACAGGAUUAGAUACCCUAGUAGUCC